GUGGGGAAUUUUGGACAAUGGGCGCAAGCCUGAUCCAGCAAUGCCGCGUGCAGGAAGAAGGCCUUCGGGUUGUAAACUGCUUUUGUACGGAACGAAACGGUCCUGGUUAAUACCUGGGGCUAAUGACGGUACCGUAAGAAUAAGCACCGGCUAACUACGUGCCAGCAGCCGCGGUAAUACGUAGGGUGCGAGCGUUAAUCGGAAUUACUGGGCGUAAAGCGUGCGCAGGCGGUGCUGUAAGACAGGCGUGAAAUCCCCGGGCUCAACCUGGGAAUUGCGCUUGGGACUGCAGUGCUGGAGUACGGCAGAGGGGGAUGGAAUUCCGCGUGUAGCAGUGAAAUGCGUAGAUAUGCGGAGGAACACCGAUGGCGAAGGCAGUCCCCUGGGCCUGUACUGACGCUCAUGCACGAAAGCGUGGGGAGCAAACAGGAUUAGAAACCCUAGUAGUCC
This 450-nucleotide ribosomal RNA is filed under the name uncultured bacterium. Its description in RNAcentral is "bacterial SSU rRNA". It matches the Rfam family "Bacterial small subunit ribosomal RNA", at positions 354 to 796 of the family's 1533-position model. The record is from RNAcentral.